This 497-nucleotide ribosomal RNA is filed under the name uncultured bacterium. RNAcentral describes it as "partial 16S ribosomal RNA". It matches the Rfam family "Bacterial small subunit ribosomal RNA", at positions 28 to 507 of the family's 1533-position model. The record is from RNAcentral.
GAUGAACGCUGGCGGCAUGCCUAACACAUGCAAGUCGAACGAACGGACGAUAAGCUUUCUCCUUUGCUGUUAGCGAGGGACGGAUGAGUAACACGUGGAUCACCUACCUAUAAUACUUGGAUAACUUCGUGAAGCCAGUGAUAAUACCACAUAAUACGUUGAACCGCUUGGUUCAAGAGUUCAAGGCGGCUUUCCUGUCACUUAUAGCUGAAUCCGCGCUGCAUUAGCUAGUUGGUAAGGUAACGGCUAACCAAGGCAACGAUGCAUAGCCGAUCUGAGAGGAUGAUCAGCCACACUGGAACUGAGACACGGUCCAGACUCCUACGGGAGGCAGCAGUGGGGAAUCUUGCACAAUGGGCGCAAGCCUGACGCAGCAAUGCCGCGUGAGUGAAGAAGGUCUUCGGGUCGUAAAGCUCUUUUGUUAGGGAAGAAAAUAAGUGGAUGUAUAUCUCCAUAUCCUGACGGUACCUAAAGAGAAAGCCCCGGCUAACUUCGUG